This 375-nucleotide long non-coding RNA is filed under the name Homo sapiens (human). Its description in RNAcentral is "non-protein coding ITPR1-DT:17". The record is from RNAcentral. Lineage: Eukaryota; Metazoa; Chordata; Mammalia; Primates; Hominidae.
GGCUGGGGUCGGUAGGGCUUGGAGCCAGCCGUUCAAAGUCACCCCUGGGAAGCGCCCGCAACCCUUGGGGACGCCUCUCCUCCGGCUGCCCCCCUUCCCUGGAAUCCAGGUGUCACUGGGGCCGGGGAGGGGCUAGGAGCUCGGAUUUCUGCUUUGGGAAGUUUUUACAAGCCCACCCUCCCCCUGCCUUGGUUCCCCGAGCCAAGAAUUUCAGAAAUCCGGGGCACAAAAACGCCAGUGUUUGCGGUCAAGGAUUAAAGGCGCGAGGUGUCUUUAUUUAAUCUGCUCCGCCCUGCUCGGGUUUGCACGAGAAACCAAGCCUGGGAGCGACGGUCCACGCAAGCGGAGACACAGAUCCAACCCCGAGGCAUUUGG